UUCGGAUGAAGUCCUUGGUGACUGAGUGGCGGACGGGUGAGUAACGCGUGGGUAACCUGCCUCAUACAGGGGGAUUACAGUUAGAAAUGGCUGCUAAUACCGCAUAAGCGCACGGUACUGCAUGGUACAGUGUGAAAAACUCCGGUGGUAUGAGAUGGACCCGCGUUGGAUUAGCUAGUUGGCAGGGUAACGGCCUACCAAGGCGACGAUCCAUAGCCGGCCUGAGAGGGUGGACGGCCACAUUGGGACUGAGACACGGCCCAGACUCCUACGGGAGGCAGCAGUGGGGAAUAUUGCACAAUGGGGGAAACCCUGAUGCAGCGACGCCGCGUGAGCGAAGAAGUAUUUCGGUAUGUAAAGCUCUAUCAGCAGGGAAGAAAAUGACGGUACCUGACUAAGAAGCCCCGGCUAACUACGUGCCAGCAGCCGCGGUAAUACGUAGGGGGCAAGCGUUAUCCGGAUUUACUGGGUGUAAAGGGAGCGUAGACGGAAUGGCAAGUCUGAUGUGAAAGGCCGGGGCUCAACCCCGGGACUGCAUUG
Molecule: ribosomal RNA, 540 nt
Filed under: Mediterraneibacter gnavus
Lineage: Bacteria; Bacillati; Bacillota; Clostridia; Lachnospirales; Lachnospiraceae
Description: bacterial SSU rRNA
Rfam family: Bacterial small subunit ribosomal RNA
Source: RNAcentral